This 519-nucleotide ribosomal RNA is filed under the name uncultured bacterium. Its description in RNAcentral is "bacterial SSU rRNA". It matches the Rfam family "Bacterial small subunit ribosomal RNA", at positions 8 to 526 of the family's 1533-position model. The record is from RNAcentral.
AGAGUUUGAUCAUGGCUCAGAAUGAACGUUGGCGGCGUGGAUUAGGCAUGCAAGUCGAGCGAGAACCCGCAAGGGGGACAGCGGCGAACGGGGUAGGAAUACGUAGGUAACGUACCCUCGGGGCGAGGACAGCCACGGGAAACUGUGGGUAAUACUCGAUAAACUUCCCAAUCAUUAUCGGAGGGGAAGCAAUGGGUGUGAUUCCACCUGAGGAGCGGCUUACGCAGUAUCAGCUAGUUGGUGAGGUAACGGCUCACCAAGGCUACGACGCUUAGGGGGUGUGAGAGCAUGGCCCCCACCACUGGCACUGAGACACUGGCCAGACACCUACGGGUGGCUGCAGUCGAGAAUCUUCGGCAAUGGACGCAAGUCUGACCGAGCGACGCCGCGUGUGGGAUGAAGGCCUUCGGGUUGUAAACCACUGUCAGAGGGGAUGAAGUGUACGAGAGUUAUCUCUUGUAUUUGACAGAGCCUCAGAGGAAGCACGGGCUAAGUUCGUGCCAGCCGCCGCGGUAAUAC